RNAcentral lists this ribosomal RNA (433 nucleotides) under uncultured bacterium. Its description in RNAcentral is "partial 16S ribosomal RNA". It matches the Rfam family "Bacterial small subunit ribosomal RNA", at positions 29 to 507 of the family's 1533-position model. The record is from RNAcentral.
AACGAACGCUGGCGGCAUGCCUAACACAUGCAAGUCGAACGAGACCUUCGGGUCUAGUGGCGCACGGGUGCGUAACGCGUGGGAACCUGCCCUUAGGUUCGGAAUAACUCCCCGAAAGGGGUGCUAAUACCGCAUAAUGUCUUCGGACCAAAGAUUUCUCGCCUUUGGAUGGGCCCGCGUUGGAUUAGCUAGUUGGUAGGGUAAAAGCCUACCAAGGCGACGAUCCAUAGCUGGUCUGAGAGGAUGAUCAGCCACACUGGGACUGAGACACGGCCCAGACUCCUACGGGAGGCAGCAGUGGGGAAUAUUGGACAAUGGGCGAAAGCCUGAUCCAGCAAUGCCGCGUGAGUGAUGAAGGCCUUAGGGUUGUAAAGCUCUUUUACCCGGGAUGAUAAUGACAGUACCGGGAGAAGAAGCUCCGGCUAACUCCGUG